Vicia villosa (hairy vetch) is the source of this 1439-nucleotide long non-coding RNA. RefSeq lists it as uncharacterized. Lineage: Eukaryota; Viridiplantae; Streptophyta; Magnoliopsida; Fabales; Fabaceae. The transcript has 4 exons. The record is from RefSeq and is a predicted model, not a curated record.
UUUUGUGAUGAUUCAAAUCCUCUGAGCUUCUCCUCCCCCUCACUCGCAAACGAACGGCGGCGGUACGGUGGCUCUCUCUCGAUUCAACUCAUUGUGCCGGUGAAAGUUUCGCGGCGGCGGAAUCUCAGCCCUCUCAUUGCGCAAGUCUCUCGUCUCCGUUUCGGUUCUCGAACUCUCUCGAUCUCUUUCAGCUCAAUCCCGUGGCUCUCUCAUCUUCUCCUUGUUCGUUAUUGAUGAUGAUGAUGAUGAUGCAAAGUUCUCGAAGAUGCAGAAUCGCAAAAUCAUGUGAUGUCAGAGUGAUGAAUCACAACGAUGAAGGCGAAGGUGAUGUUUAUCUUGAACAAAUGAAGAAACAAAUGAAGGAUUCUGAGUUUGUUCUUUGUGAUUUUUUAUAGAAUCGGGAGGUUGUUUGUGAAGAUUGUAAAGAGUUAGCCGAAGAACUUUUUCUGUGUGAGUUUCUUGGAGAAUGAAGGUGAAGAUUGGAAGAGCGAUUCUGUUAUCAUUGAAGAAGUGGAGAUUGAAUCGAGAGAAAACCUCUUAGCAAUUCUGUUACAGGUUUUUGAGAGAUUGAAGGAGAACCAGAUUGGUGAUGAAUUGGUUUGAGAAUCGGUGAAGAUUCUUCUUGAAGAUUUUUCAGAGAAGGUUUUUGUUGAAGAUGAUGAAGUUGAGAGAAGAUUGAGGGUGGGAGAAGAAUGAAUGGAUGGAAGUGAAGGGAAAAUUGAAGAUGAUGAAUCCUGAGAUUGUGAAGGAAGGAUUGAAGAAUGGUGAGGAAGAUCCUGAAGGUGUGUGUGCAGCUGAGAUAUAUAGAGGAUGAUGAGAGGGACCUUUAUUUGAAGAGUUUAAUGGUGCAGCUUGGCUUUGGUGAGGUUGGGUGCUGCUGGCUCCGGUUUUAUUUUGGUUUGCGCUGCAGGUUGUAUUUUGUUUUCAAUUUGCUAGGCAGCUAGCACUGAGUAGCUAGGGGGUAGGUUGUGAACUGGUUUAGGAUUUAGAUGAUGUAACUUUGAUAUCAGCUUUUUUCUAGAACCAUAUUGUUGCUCAUAUCUGUCUUCUUGAACCGUAUGCUUAAGACCAUGUGACAUUAUACUAGAAAUAGAGCUGAAUGAAGUUGAACUGGCGGAUCUCUUAUGGUUGUCAUUUGUGGUUGCAGGUAUGAUGCUGUUUGGAUGACUUGAACCUGUUCUCGAUCCGACACACACCUAACCCAAGGUGCAAGAUGUUUUUAACUGAACUGAACAUCAUUAACGGUUUCAGUGCCAUGUUUGGAAUUUCGCGAGCUACAAGUUCGGCUAAUGUGAAGGAAACGUAACCCUUGGUGUAGCUUAGGGAACCAACACUUGUAAAAAUAGUUUUUUUUUGUAAAGCUUUUUCCUUGUGUUGUAUGACGCGAUCGAACUUGUAACGGCCAAGUGUAAUGCUCUUAUCUGUAAUUAUCUUGACAG